This is a long non-coding RNA of Oncorhynchus tshawytscha (Chinook salmon), 1426 nucleotides long. The record is from Ensembl. NCBI's taxonomy places the organism in Eukaryota, Metazoa, Chordata, Actinopteri, Salmoniformes, Salmonidae.
UCUGCUUUAGACUGAUGACACAGAGAGGUGUUUCUGCUUUAGACUGAUGACACAGAGAGGUGUUUCUGCUUUAGACUGAUGACACAGAGAGGUGUUUCUGCUUUAGACUGAUGACACAGAGAGGUGUGUUUCUGCUUUAGACUGAUGACACAGAGAGGUGUUUCUGCUUUAGACUGAUGACACAGAGAGGUGUGUUUCUCUGAUUAUACUAUGGUCGUGUCCCAAAUGGCACCCUAUUCCCUACACAGUGAAAAGUAGUCCACUAUUUAAGCAAUAGGGUCCCAUUCAGGAUGCAACCUGUGUGUGUGGGACAACAGUGUUACCUGGGCAACAGUGUUACCUGGGCAACAGUGUUACCUGGGCAACAGUGUUACCUGGGCAACAGUGUUGAUUUGUUAACAUUCAGACUGUAUUCUAAUUAUCUUGAGAGAGGAGAGAGGAUGAGAAGGGGAAAGAGAUCAUUAAGAGAUUAUCCUGAACUUCCUAACAUUGUCCAGGAAGAUGAACAUAGAUUGACCUGUGACCUGGGAAGUUGAACAUAAUAAUGCUGAUCAGUGAUUGGCUGAUGAUAGGCAGAGGGCAGGUAUUACAUAAAGACAGUGUUGGUAGUUUGAAAUUAUGAACAGAAACACAGAGGUUUUUGUAUCUGAAAAGAGUUAACUCCCAAAAGGAGAAAUGUAUUUUAUCGUCUGGUUCCUUUGAUGUGUGUAGGAGACAAAUACUUUGAGUCUUUUUAUUUGUGCAGUGGAAAAUACACUAAAGAAAAAUUGUUUUCCAGAGGCCUGUGUUUCAAUACGGUGUACGAGAGAGGGAGAGAGAGAUGCUCAUCACAGUGAAGAGAGGGAGAGAGAGAUGCUCAUCACAGUGAAGAGAGGGAGAGAGAUGCUCAUCACAGUGAAGAGAGGGAGAGAGAGAUGCUCAUCACAGUGAAGAGAGGGAGAGAGAGAUGCUCAUCACAGUGAAGAGAGAUGGAGAGAGAGAUGCUCAUCACAGCGAAGAGAGGGAGAGAGAGAUGCUCAUCACAGUGAAGAGAGGGAGAGAGAGAUGCUCAUCACAGCGAAGAGAGGGAGAGAGAGAUGCUCAUCACAGCGAAGAGAGGGAGAGAGAGAUGCUCAAUCACAGCGAAGAGAGGGAGAGAGAGAUGCUCAUCACAGCGAAGAGAGAGGAGAGAGAGAUGCUCAUCACAGCGAAGAGAGGGAGAGAGAGAUGCUCAUCACAGCGAAGAGAGGGAGAGAGAGAUGCUCAUCACAGCGAAGAGAGGGAGAGAGAGAUGCUCAUCACAGCGAAGAGAGGGAGAGAGAGAUGCUCAUCACAGUGAAGAGAGGGAGAGAGAGAUGCUCAUCACAGUGAAGAGAGGGAGAGAGAGAUGCUCAUCACAGCGAAGAGAGGGAGAGAGAGAUGCUCAUCACAGCGAAGAGAGGGAGAG